GACAGAGGGUGCAAGCGUUGUUCGGAAUUAUUGGGCGUAAAGGGCGCGUAGGCGGUCCUUCAAGUCAGAUGUGAAAGCCCAGGGCUCAACCUUGGAAUUGCCUUUGAUACUGGCUGUCUUGAGUAUGGGAGAGGUUAGCGGAACUCCGAGUGUAGAGGUGAAAUUCGUAGAUAUUCGGAAGAACACCAGUGGCGAAGGCGGCUAACUGGCCCAUUACUGACGCUGAGGCUCGAAAGCGUGGGGAGCAAACAGG
RNAcentral lists this ribosomal RNA (253 nucleotides) under uncultured bacterium. RNAcentral describes it as "partial 16S ribosomal RNA". It matches the Rfam family "Bacterial small subunit ribosomal RNA", at positions 524 to 776 of the family's 1533-position model. The record is from RNAcentral.